GGCCUCCCCAACCCUCUCUACCAUGAUUGUGGAUUGAAGGAUUAUCCUUCCCUUCUUUUUCUUGAAAUCAUCAAGGUGAUAAAUUGUCUGAGAAAGGGAACAAAGUGGUGGGAGUGUAAACCUCACCAAGAGGAUUUUGCGUUGUACGACACCCCUCACUGAGUAACUAUGUUACUCACCCUUUCUCUUAUCCAUCUUGGCACAAGUCAUGGUGUGGUCGAUCGUCGUGAUGUGCGGGUCUAGUGUCGAGUUCAGCAUCUUUUUUGCCUAGGUUUGUCUGCAUUAUAGGGUUUAGACCAAUCUAUUGGUCGUGUUGUAUAUUUUAUCUUUGGUUGUGUAUACUUGAUCUGCUUGUAUUAUAGGGACACUAGGUAUUAGGGG
This is a long non-coding RNA of Dioscorea cayenensis subsp. rotundata (Guinea yam), 381 nucleotides long. RefSeq lists it as uncharacterized. The record is from RefSeq and is a predicted model, not a curated record. The transcript is spliced from 3 exons. Lineage: Eukaryota; Viridiplantae; Streptophyta; Magnoliopsida; Dioscoreales; Dioscoreaceae.